GAUUGCCUACGGGGCGCAGCAGUGAGGAAUAUUGGUCAAUGGGCUUACGCCUGAACCAGCCAAGUCGCGUGAGGGAAGACUGCCCUAUGGGUUGUAAACCUCUUUUGUCAGGGAGCAACGCCGGCUACGUGUAGCCGGACUGAGAGUACCUGAAGAAAAAGCAUCGGCUAACUCCGUGCCAGCAGCCGCGGUAAUACGGAGGAUGCGAGCGUUAUCCGGAUUUAUUGGGUUUAAAGGGUGCGUAGGCGGACUGUCAAGUCAGCGGUAAAAUACGGGGGCUCAACCUCCGCCCGCCGUUGAGACUG
This 305-nucleotide ribosomal RNA is filed under the name uncultured bacterium. RNAcentral's name for it is "bacterial SSU rRNA". It matches the Rfam family "Bacterial small subunit ribosomal RNA", at positions 333 to 635 of the family's 1533-position model. The record is from RNAcentral.